GGAACUGUGGUGUACUGGGUGUGCACAUCCCCUUGAAGACGGGAAAGUAUCUGUUCAACUCAGGUCGGUUCCA
This 73-nucleotide transfer RNA is filed under the name Bacteroidota bacterium. RNAcentral describes it as "Bacteroidetes bacterium (activated sludge metagenome) tRNA-Phe". It matches the Rfam family "tRNA". From Rfam's summary of the family: Transfer RNA (tRNA) molecules are approximately 80 nucleotides in length. Their secondary structure includes four short double-helical elements and three loops (D, anti-codon, and T loops). Further hydrogen bonds mediate the characteristic L-shaped molecular structure. tRNAs have two regions of fundamental functional importance: the anti-codon, which is responsible for specific mRNA codon recognition, and the 3' end, to which the tRNAs corresponding amino acid is attached (by aminoacyl-tRNA synthetases). tRNAs cope with the degeneracy of the genetic code in two manners: having more than one tRNA (with a specific anti-codon) for a particular amino acid; and 'wobble' base-pairing, i.e. permitting non-standard base-pairing at the 3rd anti-codon position. RNAcentral also lists the same sequence under 1 other name. Lineage: Bacteria; Pseudomonadati; Bacteroidota. The record is from RNAcentral.